Molecule: RNase P RNA, 342 nt
Filed under: Tissierella simiarum
Lineage: Bacteria; Bacillati; Bacillota; Tissierellia; Tissierellales; Tissierellaceae
Description: Tissierella sp. MSJ-40 RNase P RNA component class A
Rfam family: Bacterial RNase P class A
About the family: Ribonuclease P (RNase P) is a ubiquitous endoribonuclease, found in archaea, bacteria and eukarya as well as chloroplasts and mitochondria. Its best characterised activity is the generation of mature 5'-ends of tRNAs by cleaving the 5'-leader elements of precursor-tRNAs.
Source: RNAcentral
AGAGUAAGCUGAAUGGUCGCAUGCUUUAAGCAUGAGGAAAGUCCGUGCUCCAUAGGGCAGGAUGCUGGAUAACGUCCAGUGGGGGCGACCCUAAGGAUAGUGCAACAGAAAUAUACCGCCUAACUUUAGUUAGGUAAGGAUGGAAAGGCGAGGUAAGAGCUCACCAGCAAUUAGGCGACUAAUUGGCUCUGUAAACCCCAUCUGGAGCAAGACCAAGUAAGGGACUAAAAAGGUGGUUGCCCGCUACCGUCCCAAUGGUAGGUCGCAUGAAUUUAUUGGCAACAAUAGAUCUAGAUAGAUGACCAUUUAAAACAGAACACGGCUUAUAGGCUUACUCUUUAU